GAUGAAGAACGCAGCAAAAUGCGAUAAGUAAUGUGAAUUGCAGAAUUCAGUGAAUCAUCGAAUCUUUGAACGCACAUUGCGCCCGCUGGUAUUCCGGCGGGCAUGCCUGUUCGAGCGUCAUUUCAACCCUCAAGCCCCCGGGUUUGGUGUUGGGGAUCGGCUCUGCCCUUCUGGGCGGUGCCGCCCCCGAAAUACAUUGGCGGUCUCGCUGCAGCCUCCAUUGCGUAGUAGCUAACACCUCGCAACUGGAACGCGGCGCGGCCAUGCCGUAAAACCCCAACUUCUGAAUGUUGACCUCGGAUCAGGUAGGAAUACCCGCUGAACUUAAGCAUAUCAAUAAGCGGAGGAA
RNAcentral lists this unclassified non-coding RNA (349 nucleotides) under soil metagenome. Its description in RNAcentral is "partial contains 5.8S ribosomal RNA, internal transcribed spacer 2, and large subunit ribosomal RNA". The stretch from base 1 to 120 matches the Rfam family "5.8S ribosomal RNA", at positions 35 to 154 of the family's 154-position model. The record is from RNAcentral.